This 2264-nucleotide long non-coding RNA is filed under the name Oreochromis niloticus (Nile tilapia). Its description in RNAcentral is "lncRNA (ENSONIG00000027846.1)". Lineage: Eukaryota; Metazoa; Chordata; Actinopteri; Cichliformes; Cichlidae. The record is from RNAcentral.
UAUUUAUUCCAUAAUGCGACUUUUCAGCAGAAUGACUUUGUCUGUCAAUCAAGAAAGACAGGGCGGAGCCAGUUGUGUGAUUGGUUGCUCCUUUCCUCAGACAUAAGUAAUAGCACGUGAAGUGUCGAUUUAGGUGUAAUGGUGCAGUGCGUCUCCUACGCAGACGGCGGCAGUGUGCAGCUCGAAAUAAAGUUAAGGCACGACAAGUGUAAAACACUGGGCGCGAAGAACGUUACAGGUGUAUCAAUGCUUGUGAAGGGCAUGGCUGCAGGAGACAAGUCCGUUUCUGAGUUACUCAGAGAAGUUGCUAACCGCUUAGAUUGUACGUCUUCACCUCAGUCUGAGAGAGUGUUGCAGCAGCGUACUGGAGAUGAAGCGGUCCCUGGUCCAAGUUCUCAUCAAAACAGCACAGUUUUAACGUUAGCAAAUGCUAACGCUAUCACAGCUAGCUCCACUCCACAAAACGCUGUUCAGGGUCAUAACACGAACAAGCCGUCAAGUCAAGCAGCUGAGGAAAGGGCUUAAGGAGACCAUGGUAUGGCCGCUUCUGACAGAAAGAUCAGACAUCAUUCCUCUUUUCUUACCAAGGGAAUCAGAGACUGCUCCCUGUUGUAAGGUCAGGUCACAUUUUAUAACAUCUGAACAGUAAAGGUAUUUGGUUAAUUUAUGAAGGAUGCACAUUAAUUGUUGACACAAAACAUCAAUAUAUCUGCUCUUGCUCUUGACGAAGGCGGUCGCACUUUUCUCCUCUCCUCCUCUCCCUUAUCUUCCCUGCUUAGCCUCUUGUGUCCUUGUCUAGUCUCGUGGGUUUUUUUGUAUUACUUUUCCCUGGAACACUCUCUCACAGUCUGUUCUCUAAAACCUAAAAGAGGAAUUAUGGAUUGGAUCAACUGGUCCCUGAAUGCAAUUGACACCCCUUUCUCAACGAGAAGUUUGGGCUUGGGUGAGCCUGAGUGCUGAAGAUAUCUACCUAUUCGGAACCAUGAUAACAGGGUUCUGGCUGAUCGGAGCUGGCUUGGCCCUGGCUUAUCGAAGAUUAAAGGAAGCGGAACCAGCUGUUCAAACCUCCACAAGGCUGUCCGCUGGGAUUGAAACGAUGGGAAGAGACGUGAGUUUCUCAAAAUGGGCUCAUUGAGUGCAGCACGGAUAAUACCUUGGAGAAGCUUACGGCUGCCGUGAAUACUCAGAAUAAGAUCUCUGAGUGCAAACUGGAUUACAUCUCGGAAGGGCUAGCUCGGAAAAACACCUCUGAGCGCAAAUUGGAAGACAUCUCGGGGAGGCACACUGUUGUGAGUUCUCAGAAUUGGCUCCUUGAGCACAAGAAUGACAACAUCACAGAACGCAAGUAUGGCGAAGCUCGCGGCUCUCCAACGGGAGGUUGAGAGACCAGUGUUGGACUGUAGAACUGCUUUGAAAUUCAUAUGAGUUGUUUGCACUAAAGUAAAAAGCACCAUCACUUCAUGCGGAUACCCUCUUGGCGCCAGCUGCGGUCGCAAGACUGGAGCCGAACAAAAAUACCCUGAUAACGACUGUGUUGUGACUGUUCUUCCCAUUCCAUGCAAGGCCACCUGGGUUGGCUGGAAGACUGUUUACUUAGCCUAGCAGGGCGAAGGACACUGUCUCAGCUGAACUCUGGACACGCACACACAUACAUAUACACUGAUAUGCACACACUCAUCCCCCCUCCCUUUCCAAACGCCUUCGACGCUUAUUCCCUUCCGAUGCUGACGGUGGAUCAUGGAGACCAGCGCAUAGGCUGCAGGCCCGGAUGUACUGUCUACAUCGGCUGUCUCUCACCCUUUACCCACCCCUGUUGCUUGUCAUGUGUUUCUUUGGUGUAUUAAGAGUUUUUUCAUGUGCUAUGUGCAGAGGUGUUUUUUUCUGUUCUCAAACUGAUCUCCCUGUUGGAGCUCAGUCUGGGGGGAGUUAUUUUUUCUCCUUAUCUUUCCUCAUGUGAUGCAUUUUCCAUUGUUAUACCUCUCUGACCUGUCUUCCCCAUGUGAUGUUUUGUGUAAUCUAUGUAUGGUCGGAGGGUAAGAUGGCGCCGCCAUUGCGUGCAAUAGGUCGGCAGCCUUAUGAAAUUUCCCCUUGUGGGACUAAUAAAGGUAUAUCAAUAUACUAUUUUGUAUGCGAACAGCUGGGUUACAUUUAAUAAAAAUACACCUAAUGUUGCUGACGCUCUUAAGACUACAAGAUAAGUAAAGCUAUAAAAAUGACAAAUUAAACUUAUUUUAUCUUGUAGCAUUUAAGAGAAAAAAUUAACC